Molecule: ribosomal RNA, 465 nt
Filed under: uncultured bacterium
Lineage: Bacteria
Description: bacterial SSU rRNA
Rfam family: Bacterial small subunit ribosomal RNA
Source: RNAcentral
CCAGACUCCUACGGGAGGCAGCAGUGAGGAAUAUUGGUCAAUGGGCGGGAGCCUGAACCAGCCAAGUCGCGUGAGGGACGACGGUCCUAUGGAUUGUAAACCUCUUUUGUCGGGGAACAAAGGCGCCCACGGGUGGGCGGAUGAGUGUACCCGAAGAAAAAGCAUCGGCUAACUCCGUGCCAGCAGCCGCGGUAAUACGGAGGAUGCGAGCGUUAUCCGGAUUUAUUGGGUUUAAAGGGUGCGUAGGCGGGUGUUUAGGGCGGGGGUAAAGUGGGGGGCCCCACCCCCUUCCCGCCAUUGAAACUGGCGCUCUUGAGUGGAAGAGAAGUAUGCGGAAUGCGUGGUGUAGCGGUGAAAUGCAUAGAUAUCACGCAGAACCCCGAUUGCGAAGGCAGCAUGCCGGCUUCCGACUGACGCUGAAGCACGAAAGCGUGGGGAUCGAACAGGAUUAGAUACCCUCGUAAG